Molecule: long non-coding RNA, 758 nt
Filed under: Parus major (Great Tit)
Lineage: Eukaryota; Metazoa; Chordata; Aves; Passeriformes; Paridae
Description: lncRNA (ENSPMJG00000019454.1)
Source: RNAcentral
CUCACAGUAGAGGAAGCGAUGCGCUAACGUGUCAGUAAAGAAGCUGAUGAGAAAUCACGCUUUGCCUUCACCAAACAUCCUGGAGAAAUUUUACAGCAGGAGAGAGAACAGGUAUUUUGACAGAAAGAUAAGGAGAAGAGCUUCCACUUCUGAAUAAACUGAGUCAAAAGUAGUGGAGUGGUCCACACACUGUCCAGUAGAGGACUCCUACUUCAGCUGAGGUUAAACCACAGCUUCUGUGAGUCAGUUUUGCUAAUGAGAUCCUUGAUUUCACAGUUAUGCUUCUUUCAACAGCGGCACUCUGCAUGUACACGUUACAGUUGGAAGGUGAAUGGCUUCGUGGCCCAUUACAGAAGUCAUCAAAGAACUUGGAGUUCCCAUGGGAGAACUUUGAACUUCCCUGAAAGAAAAAAAAUACCCUAACUUCAUCAGUUUCUCCACUUGUAACUGUGUGGUCAGUAUAUACUGGCUUGAAGAACUGCACUGUUGUCAGGUCUUUCCUGGUCUUUACAGAUAAACUUUUUUGUGUCUUUAAGCUGCUGUUUCUUCUCCUGUCUUUGUGUCAUCUGUUCCACUCACGUGUGGUUUAAUGGAAUGGUGGAAGAUAUCAAGCAAUUAGAUUUUCAUCUGUCCAUAUUUACUUGUACAAAAUUAGGUGAUCAUAUUCACUAUGUAAGUCCUUGAAAAAAGAGAAAACUUCAUUCAAGAUCCAUGAUUAGAAAUUAUUCUUUACUGGUUAAGAAAUUGUGAUAGAUCAG